Long non-coding RNA from Panicum virgatum (switchgrass), 1804 nucleotides. RefSeq lists it as uncharacterized. NCBI's taxonomy places the organism in Eukaryota, Viridiplantae, Streptophyta, Magnoliopsida, Poales, Poaceae. The transcript has 2 exons. The record is from RefSeq and is a predicted model, not a curated record.
UCAAGUUGUGGGCCAGCCGCCUGGGCGUAUGAGGAUUUAGAUGGGCUUUUGACCUUGGACCGUAUAGGCCUCGUUCGUUUUCACCGGAUCGGGCCGUUCCGAGCCUUGUUCCAGGCGGAUUCUUUCAGCCCGUUUCAAAACCAGGUCCAACAAAAAAUUGUUGUUCGUUUUGGGCCAGCUCGGAAUGAAAAAUGGGCCUGAACGGCCUUUCCAGCCCCAAAUCGGCCCGGAUUACAUCCCCACCUCCGUACCUCCGGAACGAUUCCGCGGCCGCAUGCGAGGUGAGGCUCGGCGGCGGGCGAGAGGCGGAGCUGGUGGCGCGUGAGGCGGCGGUGCGAGGCGGCGACUUAGCGGUGCGAGGCGGCGGCUUGGCACAUCUUCCCCGACGGCUACCACCGUCGGCAGCGGCGACGACGACCAUCUCCCUCCGACGUCGACGCUCCUUUGCCCCCUUCUCGCUGUGCCACUGUGUCCAUCUGGAGUGUCCUAUCUGAGGAAAUCUUUCUCUUUGCUUGAGCUGGUGCGUUCACACCUUAAGCAUUUUUAAUUUUUUGCACACACAAAACCUGAUUAUGCUUUUCUCCUUCCGAGUUUUUAACUCUGCUGCCGUCAGUCAUAACAUGGAAGCAUAUACUAUAUUUGCUGCUUUGCAAUUAUCAUGAGUAAUGUCCCGACUAACAAAUACCUUUUCUUGUUACUUGUAGAUCCCACCGGCACCAUUUAGAGUUCAAUCAGUAGCAUGACCAUGUUAUCUUUGACUGCUCGUUCUGGAGGGUUUAGAGUCUUGCUCGGCAAACUAUUGUAAUGUUUGGGCAGGGUCGUUUAUCUUUGACUGUCAUUGUAGCUCAAUCAGUAGCAUUUAUCAGAUUCUAACAACAUCAGGUCUCAGGAUAUCAGGUCUUAGUGACUAAUACUGAACGAGCAGUGGUAAUGCAAAGGCAUUUAUCAGAUUUUGUUUUAGUAUACCUACUGCAGUAAUUUGGUUACUUGUAGAUCAUUUUUGCUUAACAAAUAUUUUUUCUUGUUACUUGUAGAUCUCUCGAGCAUCAAUGGUGAUUAGAAUGCAUGUCUCUGUUUUCAGUUUACCACCAUUGGCGGACUGUAGUCAGCAGAUGGUUCCAAUGUCCAUGUUUUCUCUAGCAAAUUAUUUUAUUUGACGCUUCUGUUGUCCAAUGUGAAGCACUGAUGUCCAUUAACUUUCUUUGUAUCAUGUGGUGUUUGUCACCAUUCUGAGUAGUGCGAACUUGAUCCUUGUAUCUAGACAUGCAUAGUAACUGUUUGUCCCUUUAUCUAGCAUUGCGAUAGCAAUUUGGUGGUUCGGAUGGUAUUGGGAAUUUAUGUAACUGUUUGUCCCUUUAUCUAGCAUUGUGAUAGCAAUUUUGGUGGUUCGGAUGGUAUUGGGAAUUUAUGAUACAUCAGUCUCUUAUGUCAGCUAUUGAGCACAGUUUAAAAUCUGUUAUUUCUAAACUCAUGACAUAAUUUGUAUUUUUCUGAUAUCAGGUUUCCAAGUUUUCCAUUCCCUUGGAGGAGGCAAUGGAUCUGGAAUGGGCGCCCUUCUUAUCUCAGAUCCGAUAGGAGUACCAUGAUCGGAUGAUGCUCGCUUUUUCUAUUUUUCCUUAAGCUACAUGCUCUGCAUGUUGUGGAUGUGAUCUAGAAUGGGCACCCAUUCUUAUCUCAAAGAUCAGAGAGGAGUACCCCCAUGAGAUGAUGCUCAUUUUUUUUUCUGUUUUUCCUUCAACUACCUGUACCGUGGUGUCUCCAUUUCGUCAUGCAAUCAGCCUUGAAUUUCUACGUGUUUGUGAGA